Molecule: ribosomal RNA, 216 nt
Filed under: uncultured bacterium
Lineage: Bacteria
Description: partial 16S ribosomal RNA
Rfam family: Bacterial small subunit ribosomal RNA
Source: RNAcentral
GAUCAUGGCUCAGGAUGAGCGCUAGCUACAGGCUUAACACAUGCAAGUCGAGGGGCAGCAUGGUCUUAGCUUGCUAAGACUGAUGGCGACCGGCGCACGGGUGAGUAACACGUAUCCAACCUGCCGUCUACUCUUGGACAGCCUUCUGAAAGGAAGAUUAAUACAAGAUGGCAUCAUGAGUCCGCAUGUUCACAUGAUUAAGGUAUUCCGUAGACG